AGACUCAUCGCAGCGGUGACUCGGCAGCAGCGUCUCGCGUCAUCAGUGACAGCCCCGACCCUUGCUACGUUUGCGUCGCUCUGCCAGGAGCAGUCGCCUCCUCCUUGGCAAAUAGUCCUCGGCAGGGUCCGAGUUCUUGGAUAAUUCGAGAGAAAAGGCACGAUAAGUUGCAGUACGAGGACACGGAAACGACCAGGAGAGGAGGACAGGGAGCGAAGUUUCCGCAAUAGUGUGUGAAGUUAGUUAAAAUCUCCCUCCUUCCUCAGGAUCCCUCCGCCUGCGGUAGCGGUGGUGAGGCCGAGGGAGCCGCCAUUUUGGAUGUUCGGUUCCUGCUGCCACUGCUGCCGCCGCCCCCGGAGCUGCUGGUUUCAUUCGAGGUUUCGGGCCGCUCCUGGCCCUGCGGACGUCAGCGUCUAAUAAUUCUCCCGGUCUUCCUGAUUGCUUGAAAGAGUCGGGACGGUUCGGUUGAUUGUGUUUCCCGGUUAGGACUUGGUGUAGGAGAUCCAUCGAACCACUCGCUCAGAAGGAUGCCAGCCCCCAUCAGAUUGCGGGAGCUGAUCCGGACCAUCCGGACAGCCCGAACCCAAGCUGAAGAACGAGAAAUGAUCCAGAAAGAAUGUGCUGCAAUCCGGUCAUCUUUUAGAGAAGAAGACAAUACAUACCGAUGUCGGAAUGUGGCAAAAUUACUGUAUAUGCACAUGCUGGGCUACCCUGCUCACUUUGGACAGUUGGAGUGCCUCAAGCUUAUUGCCUCUCAAAAAUUUACAGACAAACGCAUUGGCUAUUUAGGGGCAAUGCUGCUGUUAGAUGAAAGACAAGAUGUCCAUCUUCUCAUGACCAACUGUAUCAAGAAGUAAGUCUUACUUUUCUGUCUUCUAACAACUGUUAACUACUUUGUUCUUUUUUGUAUUUUCUUUGAGACGGAGUCUUGCUCUUUUGCCCAGGCUGGAGUGAAGUGGCGUGAUCUUGGCUCACUGCAUCCUCCUCCG
This 989-nucleotide small RNA is filed under the name Pan troglodytes (chimpanzee). RNAcentral describes it as "retained intron". The record is from RNAcentral. Lineage: Eukaryota; Metazoa; Chordata; Mammalia; Primates; Hominidae.